This 852-nucleotide ribosomal RNA is filed under the name uncultured bacterium. Its description in RNAcentral is "bacterial SSU rRNA". It matches the Rfam family "Bacterial small subunit ribosomal RNA", at positions 530 to 1381 of the family's 1533-position model. The record is from RNAcentral.
GGGACCUAGCGUAGUUCGGAAUUACUGGGCGUAAAGCGCGCGUAGGCCGUUGAGUUAGUUAAUUGUGAAAUCCCAAAGCUUAACUUUGGAACUGCAAUUAAAACUGCUCGACUAGAGUUUGAUAGAGGAAAGCGGAAUACAUAGUGUAGAGGUGAAAUUCGUAGAUAUUAUGUAGAACACCAGUUGCGAAGGCGGCUUUCUGGAUCAACACUGACGCUGAGGCGCGAAAGUAUGGGUAGCAAAGAGGAUUAGAUACCCUCGUAGUCCAUACCAUAAACGAUGAUUGCUAGAUGUUGGAAAUUUAUUUUCAGUAUCGCAGCUAACGCAUUAAGCAAUCCGCCUGGGGAGUACGACCGCAAGGUUAAAACUCAAAUGAAUUGACGGGGACCCGCACAAGCGGUGGAGCAUGUGGUUUAAUUCGAAGAUACGCGCAGAACCUUACCAACCCUUGACAUGUCUGUCGCGAGUUUAGGAAACUAGACUUUUCGGUUCGGCCGGACAGAACACAGGUGCUGCAUGGCUGUCGUCAGCUCGUGUCGUGAGAUGUUGGGUUAAGUCCCGCAACGAGCGCAACCCCUACUUUUAGUUGCCAUCAGGUCAUGCUGGGCACUCUGAAAGAACUGCCAGUGAUAAGCUGGAGGAAGGUGGGGAUGACGUCAAGUCCUCAUGGCCCUUACGGGUUGGGCUACACACGUGCUACAAUGGUAGUGACAAUGAGAUGCAAGGUGGCGACGCUAAGCUAAACUCAAAAAUCUACCUCAGUUCGGAUUGCACUCUGCAACUCGAGUGCAUGAAGCUGGAAUCGCUAGUAAUCGUAGAUCAGCGUGCUACGGUGAAUACGUUCCCGGGUCU